GAAAUCCUGCCUCUUGUCCUGCAGUCGCAACCACGAGCGGCACCGCCAUCCGCCUCGUCGUCGUCAGCAUCUGCAAACUCAGAAGCUUGCAAUCAUGAUCGAGCUUCAUUACACAGGUGUGCUGAUGAAGAUGACAAAGCUCGUCUAUGAGUGGUACACGUAAUAAGAUGUCCAGUAACCACUUGAUCUAAAGAUGGAUGAUAUUGGUUUUGCACCGGUUAACAUGAAGAUGUCGUGCGGUGGUCACAGGAGACGCACCAGAUGUAGUACGCUGUCGCUUAUGCCGAUCGAGAGAUGAGAAGUCCGUGCUGGAGUGGAACAGAAAUCCUCCUCUAAGGUUUUCCUAAAUCUCAUUUGUGGUAAUGGAGCACAAGAGCCAUCUAAGAAGAUAUGAGAAAUCGUAUUUGAGAGGUUUUCCAGAGCUGAUGGAUCAAGAUUUGGAGAUUUAUUUUAACUUUAUUUAUUUUUUGUCUUCUGUUAAUAAAUCUGUUUUAAAAAAAGGAAA
This is a non-coding RNA of Labrus bergylta (ballan wrasse), 505 nucleotides long. The record is from RefSeq and is a predicted model, not a curated record. Lineage: Eukaryota; Metazoa; Chordata; Actinopteri; Labriformes; Labridae.